CCUACGGGAGGCAGCAGUGGGGAAUAUUGCUCAAUGGGGGAAACCCUGAACCAGCGAAGCCGCGUGAGUGAAGAAGUAAUUCGUUAUGUUAAGCUCUAUCAGCAGGGAAGAAAAUGACGGUACCUGAGUAAGAAGCUCCGGCUACCUACGUGCAAGCAGCCGCGGUACUACGUAGGGGGCCGGCGUUAUCCGGAUUUACUGGGUGUAAAGGGUGUGUAGACGGUAAUGCAAGUCUGGAGUGAAAGGCGUGGGCUCAACCCCCGGACUGCUGUGGAACCUGGACGGCUUGAGUGCAGGAGAGGUAGGUGGAAGUCGUAGUGUAGCGGUGAAAUGCGUAGAUAUUAGGAGGAACACCAGUGGCGAAGGCAGCUUACUGGACUGUAACUGACGCUGAGGCACGAAAGCGUGGGUAGCAAACAGGAUUAGAUACCCCUGUAGUC
RNAcentral lists this ribosomal RNA (440 nucleotides) under uncultured bacterium. RNAcentral describes it as "partial 16S ribosomal RNA". It matches the Rfam family "Bacterial small subunit ribosomal RNA", at positions 338 to 795 of the family's 1533-position model. The record is from RNAcentral.